This 223-nucleotide ribosomal RNA is filed under the name uncultured bacterium. RNAcentral's name for it is "partial 16S ribosomal RNA". It matches the Rfam family "Bacterial small subunit ribosomal RNA", at positions 272 to 507 of the family's 1533-position model. The record is from RNAcentral.
GGCGACGACGGGUAGCCGGCCUGAGAGGGCGACCGGCCACACUGGGACUGAGACACGGCCCAGACUCCUACGGGAGGCAGCAGUGGGGAAUAUUGCACAAUGGGCGCAAGCCUGAUGCAGCGACGCCGCGUGAGGGAUGACGGCCUUCGGGUUGUAAACCUCUUUCAGCAGGGAAGAAGCGCGAGUGACGGUACCUGCAGAAGAAGCACCGGCUAACUACGUG